UACGUAGGGUGCAAGCGUUAAUCGGAAUUACUGGGCGUAAAGCGUGCGUAGGCGGUGAUGUAAGACAGAUGUGAAAUCCCCGGGCUCAACCUGGGAACUGCAUUUGUGACUGCAUCGCUGGAGUGCGGCAGAGGGGGAUGGAAUUCCGCGUGUAGCAGUGAAAUGCGUAGAUAUGCGGAGGAACACCGAUGGCGAAGGCAAUCCCCUGGGCCUGCACUGACGCUCAUGCACGAAAGCGUGGGGAGCAAACAGG
RNAcentral lists this ribosomal RNA (253 nucleotides) under uncultured bacterium. RNAcentral describes it as "partial 16S ribosomal RNA". It matches the Rfam family "Bacterial small subunit ribosomal RNA", at positions 524 to 776 of the family's 1533-position model. The record is from RNAcentral.